AUAGGGAGACCUAACCGUGAAGCGAAGACCAAAAAAGAGUCUCGCCAUCACAGGUCAAACCAAGGUCGGUUCAAAAAGCAGCAAAGAUCGAAAAUAGAGAUCGAGCAAAUGUGAGUUAAAGAAAACUGUCAAACUAAUUGUUCUGGUUCAGAAGAAAUCUACUUGAGAAAAAAAGUAGCAAAACAAGGGCUAUUAGCUCAGGUGGUUAGAGCGCACCCCUGAUAAGGGUGAGGUCCCUGGUUCAAGUCCAGGAUGGCCCACCAUAAACAAGUAAGAAGUAGAAAGUAGCAAGUAACAAGUAAGAAACUAGUGAAAGUUAUAAUCGAGUUCUGAAGCAAAGGGGGUAUAGCUCAGCUGGUAGAGCGCCUGCUUUGCAAGCAGGAUGUCAGCGGUUCAAAUCCGCUUACCUCCACCAAAAAGUUAUUUACCCAGACAAAAUCUAAAGCCCGCAUUUCGGCAAAAUAGAGGCAGUAAAAUCCAGCACUAUCAUCAUUGAUUGGCGAAAAAAAGAUGAUUCUGCUGGACUUUAAAAAGUCCAGAAUGAACCUUGAAAACUGCAUAAUAUCUAGAAACAGCAAGCUCGUUCAAGUAGCGAAAGCUAAGUGAAAGAACUUGUUGGUGAUAGAGCCAAAUUAUAGAACUAAGUAAUUAGGUCAAAAAAACUAAGGCAGUGAGCAUGACCGGCCUCGUCAGAGGCCAAGGAAAAUGCUCAUGAAAAAUUAGUCCAAAAGUAAAGAUUAGAGAGUAUCCUGCACAAAUGUAGGAUACCA
This 770-nucleotide transfer RNA is filed under the name Pleurocapsales cyanobacterium ATA3-4Q-KO6. RNAcentral's name for it is "16S-23S ribosomal RNA intergenic spacer". The stretch from base 340 to 412 matches the Rfam family "tRNA". Lineage: Bacteria; Bacillati; Cyanobacteriota; Cyanophyceae; Pleurocapsales. The record is from RNAcentral.